GAUGAACGCUGGCGGCGUGCCUAAUACAUGCAAGUCGAGCGAACAGAUGAGGAGCUUGCUCCUCUGACGUUAGCGGCGGACGGGUGAGUAACACGUGGAUAACCUACCUAUAAGACUGGGAUAACUUCGGGAAACCGGAGCUAAUACCGGGUAAUAUAUUGAACCGCAUGGUUCAAUAGUGAAAGACGGUUUUGCUGUCACUUAUAGAUGGAUCCGCGCCGCAUUAGCUAGUUGGUAAGGUAACGGCUUACCAAGGCAACGAUGCGCAGCCGACCUGAGAGGGUGAUCGGCCACACUGGAACUGAGACACGGUCCAGACUCCUACGGGAGGCAGCAGUAGGGAAUCUUCCGCAAUGGGCGAAAGCCUGACGGAGCAACGCCGCGUGAGUGAUGAAGGUCUUCGGAUCGUAAAACUCUGUUAUUAGGGAAGAACAAAUGUGUAAGUAACUAUGCACGUCUUGACGGUACCUAAUCAGAAAGCCACGGCUAACUACGUG
This 497-nucleotide ribosomal RNA is filed under the name uncultured bacterium. RNAcentral's name for it is "partial 16S ribosomal RNA". It matches the Rfam family "Bacterial small subunit ribosomal RNA", at positions 28 to 507 of the family's 1533-position model. The record is from RNAcentral.